RNAcentral lists this ribosomal RNA (492 nucleotides) under uncultured bacterium. RNAcentral's name for it is "partial 16S ribosomal RNA". It matches the Rfam family "Bacterial small subunit ribosomal RNA", at positions 29 to 507 of the family's 1533-position model. The record is from RNAcentral.
AGUGAACGCUGGCGGUAGGCCUAACACAUGCAAGUCGAACGGCAGCACAGUAAGAGCUUGCUCUUACGGGUGGCCAGUGGCGGACGGGUGAGGAAUACAUCGGAAUCUACUUUUUCGGGGGGGAUAACGUAGGGAAACUUACGCUAAUACCGCAGACCACCUACGGGGGAAAGCAGUGGAUCUUCGGACCUUGCGCGAUUGAAUGAGCCGCUGUCGGAUUUGUUAGUUGGCGGGGUAAAGGCCAACCAAGGGGGCGAUCCGUAGCUGGUCUGAGAGGAUGAUCAGCGACACUGGAACUGAGACACCGUCCAGACUCCUACGGGAGGCAGCAGUGUGGAAUAGUGGACAAUGGGGGGAAGCCUGAUCCAGUCAUACCGCGUGGGUGAAGAAGGCCCUCGGGUUGUAAAGACCUUUUUUUGGGUAAGAAAAGCAGCAGGUUAAUACCCCGCUGUUCUGACGGUACCCAAAGAAUAAGCACCGGCUAACUUCGUG